Molecule: long non-coding RNA, 1848 nt
Organism: Equus asinus (donkey)
Lineage: Eukaryota; Metazoa; Chordata; Mammalia; Perissodactyla; Equidae
Source: Ensembl
AAGCUAUUUUCUUUUAACAAGAAUUCUUAUAUUUCUCCCUGUGUUUGAGAUGAACAUUUUUAAAUUUUAAAGUUGUACAGUUUUUUGUUUUCCAUUAUUUUAUCUUGUUUGUAACUCUAUGAAAUAUAUAUAUAUUUUUUUGCCAUUUAACUGUUGUAUGUUACUCCGUGUCUGUAUCAUAUAGAAAAAAAUUGGUUUGUUUUGUUUUGUUUUUGGUUCUCUAUGUGAUACCAAUUAACAAUUUAACACUAGUUUUAUCUGUCAAAUUCUGCUAGGUCUUUUCUGAAAACUUUGUUUUUAAAAAUGAUAUUGCUUGGUAAUAGUGCAAUUUCUAUCCCUUUCCCUCCCCCCUCAACUUUAAGUUCAUUUCCUUGUAAUUAAUUUUGCCAUCCCCUCCCCAAUGGUUUUUUUCUUUUCUUUUUUUUGAGCUACUAUGCCGUCCUCCCUCUGUGAGGCAGAGUGACUGUCAGUGUUUUGUUUUGCCAUGCCUUGACCUGUGGGUGUGUUUGGCAACAGCAAGGUGGUUGGGUAGAUUGUCUAAGCAUGCUUCCCCCCACCAGUGUUCCUCAGAGGGGUUAUGCGAUUGUUUCAACCUGGAGUGGGUUGCACACUUAAUGGUUUCCUCUACAACUCUACAGCCCACAUAAAUGUUCAUUCAAAAAAGAAAAAAUGGUUCUCAGCAUUAACCCAGAAGUAGCAAAGCAGUCAGUGAUUGUGAAAAUUUGAGGUCAAACAUGAGCUAGUUAGAUGUUUGUGGGCUGACAUCCACCAUGGCUGUGACCCAUAUCAUUUACAAAGCAUGAAUUCACUGCAAUGCUCAACUGUUUAGAUUGGUCUCACUUGGAGAAUUUACUCCUGUCUGCUGCAUACUAGGUAGCUGAAAGGAUAUUUCAACUCACUUUUUAAAAUAGUUCUUCACCUCCAUUGACACUUCAUAUUUUGGUUUUUUUUUUUUUUUUCAAAUACUCCACAGUGUGGGUUGGUGCUAGACACCAUUCAAUCAGAGCACCAAAUAGACCCACAGAAUGGGAGUUAUUUCAUCCAUCCUUCCAAAAAGACACUUAAGAAGGAAACACACACGCACACACACACACACACACACGGAAAAGUUUAAUAAAUCUAGGAAGCUUUUUUUUUUAAUUAAAACUAUUUAAAGAGAUGAAUGUGGCCAAAGUUUUACACAAUUGAAAAUAAAGUAAAACAGACGGCAUGUGUUUAAACCUGAGUUUAUCAGGCAUGGCAGGAAGUUGCAGGAGAGAGAGGCAGUGACCCAAGCCAGUGCACUUGAUGUUCAUGGACAUAUAUUUUUUUUAAAUAAUAAAUUAAAUUAAAACAUUUUAAAUAGAAACAUAAAUUGAGUUGGUUGUUUGUUGGCGCUGAGAUACUGCCCACUGUGAAACAAAGCUUUGACUAUUUUUUUUUGUUUGUUUACUUUCUUCGGGAGGGAGGGGGGCAAGUUUGGGUAGGAAAGAAAGCAUAAAUGAACGUGACCCUGAGGUGAAGAGGUAUAUGAACAGCCUUUGCAAUGUACAAAAAAAUAAAAAAUAAAAAACAAAAAAAAAAUAGAGCAAGUGAAACCAAAAAUGAUGUUCUUGGUGUUUUUCUAUAAUGUAGUCUUGUUAGCUUUUUUGUUACUGUAACAAUGCUGAUCUCGAACUGUACCAAAAUACAUGGAGACUAACAAACAGAACCACAUGGAACUUUCAAACUGAAAAGAAAUUUGUCACAAAAACUUUGUUGUCAUAGUUAAGUUGAUUGUAGAUGGUAAUUGAAUAUACUCCUUUGAAAAUAUUUCAUCAAGUAUGUUUCCUGCUCAUUGUGAUACAUUAAAAAAAAAUAUGAGCAAAA